ACUUCAGGACGGGGACAACAGUUGGAAACGACUGCUAAUACCCGAUGUGCCGCAAGGUGAAAACUAAUUGGCCUGAAGAAGAGCUUGCGUCUGAUUAGCUAGUUGGUGGGGUAAGAGCCUACCAAGGCGACGAUCAGUAGCUGGUCUGAGAGGAUGAGCAGCCACACUGGGACUGAGACACGGCCCAGACUCCUACGGGAGGCAGCAGUGGGGAAUUUUCCGCAAUGGGCGAAAGCCUGACGGAGCAACGCCGCGUGAGGGAGGAAGGUCUUUGGAUUGUAAACCUCUUUUCUCAAGGAAGAAGUUCUGACGGUACUUGAGGAAUCAGCCUCGGCUAACUCCGUGCCAGCAGCCGCGGUAAUACGGGGGAGGCAAGCGUUAUCCGGAAUUAUUGGGCGUAAAGCGUCCGCAGGUGGUCAGCCAAGUCUGCCGUCAAAUCAGGUUGCUUAACGACCUA
This 457-nucleotide ribosomal RNA is filed under the name Microcystis aeruginosa. Its description in RNAcentral is "bacterial SSU rRNA". It matches the Rfam family "Bacterial small subunit ribosomal RNA", at positions 129 to 619 of the family's 1533-position model. RNAcentral also lists the same sequence under 1 other name. Lineage: Bacteria; Bacillati; Cyanobacteriota; Cyanophyceae; Chroococcales; Microcystaceae. The record is from RNAcentral.